CGAGUAGAGUGGCGCACGGGUGAGUAACACGUAGGNAUCUACCUUUGGAUUGGGAAUAACAACCGGAAACGGUUGCUAAUACCGAAUAAUGCAGCGGCACCUAAUGGUGACAGUUGUUAAAGCGGGGGAUCGCAAGACCUCGCGCCUGAAGAGAAGCCCGCGGCGGAUUAGCUAGUUGGUCGGGUAACGGCCUACCAAGGCGACGAUCCGUAGCCGGCCUGAGAGGGCGGUCGGCCACACUGACACUGACACACGGGUCAGACUCCUGCGGGAGGCAGCAGUCGGGAAUUUUGGGCAAUGGGCGAAAGCCUGACCCAGCAACGCCGCGUGAAGGAUGAAGUUUCUCGGAAUGUAAACUUCACAAGAACAGGAAGAAUAAGAGGGGGCUAAUAUCCCUCUCGAUGAC
This 406-nucleotide ribosomal RNA is filed under the name uncultured bacterium. RNAcentral's name for it is "bacterial SSU rRNA". It matches the Rfam family "Bacterial small subunit ribosomal RNA", at positions 87 to 473 of the family's 1533-position model. The record is from RNAcentral.